This 253-nucleotide ribosomal RNA is filed under the name uncultured bacterium. RNAcentral's name for it is "partial 16S ribosomal RNA". It matches the Rfam family "Bacterial small subunit ribosomal RNA", at positions 524 to 776 of the family's 1533-position model. The record is from RNAcentral.
UACGUAGGGUGCAAGCGUUGUUCGGAAUCAUUGGGCGUAAAGAGUGCGUAGGCGGCCAAAUAAGUCUGAUGUGAAAGCCCGGGGCUUAACCCCGGAAGUGCAUUGGAUACUGUUUGGCUAGAGGACGAGAGAGGGAAGUGGAAUUCCUGGUGUAGGGGUGAAAUCCGUAGAUAUCAGGAGGAACACCGGAAGCGAAGGCGGCUUCCUGGCUCGUUUCUGACGCUGAGGCACGAAAGCGUGGGUAGCAAACAGG